GGCAGAGCAAACUUAGAGAACUGCAAAAACAUGUCAAGGAGUAUUGAUGCAGUUAUGAAGACUAAUACUUGCUAAAAGUGCAGUGAUGAGCAAUUCAAGAGUAGUAAGAAGGUCAAUACUCUUAUGCUUGGAUUCUCAUAGUUCUGUGAGAGCCAUUCUGUUCUAUAUUUUGUACAAGGGAAGUCAUAAAAUGUUGAUGGUGUUGC
RNAcentral lists this unclassified non-coding RNA (206 nucleotides) under Hevea brasiliensis (rubber tree). Lineage: Eukaryota; Viridiplantae; Streptophyta; Magnoliopsida; Malpighiales; Euphorbiaceae. The record is from RNAcentral.